Molecule: long non-coding RNA, 804 nt
Organism: Amborella trichopoda
Lineage: Eukaryota; Viridiplantae; Streptophyta; Magnoliopsida; Amborellales; Amborellaceae
Source: RefSeq, a predicted model, not a curated record
CCACCACCAACCUGUGUCGUGCAAGCAGGUUAACACUUUCUCUCUCAUCUGACCUGACCCUUGGAGGGUUCUUCCUGUUUCCAGAUCUUAGAGUCAACCUGAGAAGAACAUGGGUCUGAUCCAAUACUCAGAUAAACAUUUUGAUGAUACCUACGAAUACAGGCACUUUGUCCUCCCACCGAGAAUCAGCUUCUGAAUGAGGCAAACUAAUUCACAGAAAUUCAAGAAUUAGGUUAAAGUUUCAUGAGAAUGACCCAUUCAAAGACAAAAUCCAGUUAUCUGAAUUUCAAACUCCAGAAAUGAAAGAUUCGAAGUCACAUAAGAGAUUAGGCAAUAUGCAACUCCCAAAGGAAACAUGCAAAAAAUUAACAAUGUCCACCCAGAUGUAUGGAAAGCAAGAAAAUAACGAGGAACAAAGAGUAAAAACCCGAAGUCCCUCACCUGUUACAGAUGACCAGAGCACACUAAAAAAGCUGAAGCGUAUUCAACAAUACGAACACUUAUCAUAGAGUUUUACUUCGAGCAUUAUCUUUUAAUGCACAAAAGCCCUAGGGCUCUGGAGGUACUGAAACAUGUCAAUACCCAAUUGGUUGUUGUUCGUUGCUCUUUGCUUGAGAUAGCUAAACCAGUUGAUGUGCAUUGUAGAGGGAAGAUAGAGGCACUGAUGAUUAGUUAUUACAAGGAAAAUAAAUACAUUCAAAUAGCUUAAACUAUAAGGUUGAAAUUCUAUCUAUUUUCCUCUCAGUCUUUCGGUCAUCAGUCAUAGUGCAAGGAGCAUAUGGUGAUGAUUAUGUUCAAAUUAAA